Molecule: ribosomal RNA, 480 nt
Filed under: uncultured bacterium
Lineage: Bacteria
Description: bacterial SSU rRNA
Rfam family: Bacterial small subunit ribosomal RNA
Source: RNAcentral
AUUGAACGCUGGCGGAAUGCUUUACACAUGCAAGUCGAACGGUAGAGGGGGCAACCCCUUGAGAGUGGCGAACGGGUGAGUAAUGUAUCGGAACGUGCCCAGUCGUGGGGGAUAACGUAGUGAAAAUUACGCUAAUACCGCAUACGAUCUAUGGAUGAAAGCGGGGGAUCGCAAGACCUCGCGCGAUUGGAGCGGCCGAUAUCAGAUUAGGUAGUUGGUAGGGUAAAGGCCUACCAAGCCAACGAUCUGUAGCUGGUCUGAGAGGACGACCAGCCACACUGGAACUGAGACACGGUCCAGACUCCUACGGGAGGCAGCAGUGGGGAAUUUUGGACAAUGGGCGAAAGCCUGAUCCAGCCAUUCCGCGUGCAGGAUGAAGGCCCUCGGGUUGUAAACUGCUUUUGUACGGAACGAAAAGGUUUCCAUUAAUACUGGGGACUCAUGACGGUACCGUAAGAAUAAGCACCGGCUAACUACGUG